RNAcentral lists this ribosomal RNA (305 nucleotides) under uncultured bacterium. Its description in RNAcentral is "bacterial SSU rRNA". It matches the Rfam family "Bacterial small subunit ribosomal RNA", at positions 334 to 636 of the family's 1533-position model. The record is from RNAcentral.
UACCCUACGGGAGGCAGCAGUGAGGAAUAUUGGUCAAUGGGCGGGAGCCUGAACCAGCCAAGUCGCGUGAGGGACGACGGUCCUAUGGAUUGUAAACCUCUUUUGUCGGGGAACAAAGGCGCCCACGGGUGGGCGGAUGAGUGUACCCGAAGAAAAAGCAUCGGCUAACUCCGUGCCAGCAGCCGCGGUAAUACGGAGGAUGCGAGCGUUAUCCGGAUUUACUGGGUGUAAAGGGAGCGUAGGUGGCAUGGUAAGCCAGAAGUGAAAACCCGGGGCUCAACCCCGCGGAUUGCUUUUGGAACUAU